UACGUAGGGUGAAAGCGUUGUCCGGAAUUAUUGGGCGUAAAGAGCGUGUAGGCGGCCCGAUUAGUCCGCUGUGAAAGUCCAGGGCUCAACCCUGGAAUGCCGGUGGAUACUGUCGGGCUAGAGUCCGGAAGGGGCGAGUGGAAUUCCUGGUGUAGCGGUGAAAUGCGCAGAUAUCAGGAGGAACACCAAUGGCGAAGGCAGCUCGCUGGGACGUGACUGACGCUGAGACGCGAAAGCGUGGGGAGCAAACAGG
RNAcentral lists this ribosomal RNA (253 nucleotides) under uncultured bacterium. RNAcentral's name for it is "partial 16S ribosomal RNA". It matches the Rfam family "Bacterial small subunit ribosomal RNA", at positions 524 to 776 of the family's 1533-position model. The record is from RNAcentral.